GGGGAUAGAACUCAGUUGGUAGAGUGCUUGCUUCCAAUGCACAUGGCCCUGGGUUCAAUCCCCAGCACCCCCA
Molecule: non-coding RNA, 73 nt
Organism: Ictidomys tridecemlineatus (thirteen-lined ground squirrel)
Lineage: Eukaryota; Metazoa; Chordata; Mammalia; Rodentia; Sciuridae
Source: Rfam